This 253-nucleotide ribosomal RNA is filed under the name uncultured bacterium. Its description in RNAcentral is "partial 16S ribosomal RNA". It matches the Rfam family "Bacterial small subunit ribosomal RNA", at positions 524 to 776 of the family's 1533-position model. The record is from RNAcentral.
UACGUAGGUGGCAAGCGUUGUCCGGAUUUAUUGGGUUUAAAGGGUGCGUAGGCGGUCUUUUAAGUCAGUGCUGAAAUACUCCAGCUUAACUGGAGGGGUGGCAUUGAUACUGGAAGACUUGAGUGUAGUCGAGGUAGGCGGAAUUGACGGUGUAGCGGUGAAAUGCUUAGAUAUCGUCAAGAACACCGAUAGUGAAGACAGCUUACUAGGCUACAACUGACGCUGAGGCACGAAAGUGUGGGGAUCAAGCAGG